This 253-nucleotide ribosomal RNA is filed under the name uncultured bacterium. RNAcentral's name for it is "partial 16S ribosomal RNA". It matches the Rfam family "Bacterial small subunit ribosomal RNA", at positions 524 to 776 of the family's 1533-position model. The record is from RNAcentral.
UACGUAGGGCGCAAGCGUUGUCCGGAAUUAUUGGGCGUAAAGAGCGUGUAGGCGGCCAAGCAGGUCCGUUGUGAAAACUGGAGGCUUAACCUCCAGACGUCGACGGAAACCGCGCGGCUAGAGUCCGGAAGAGGAGAGUGGAAUUCCUGGUGUAGCGGUGAAAUGCGCAGAUAUCAGGAAGAACACCAAUGGCGAAGGCAGCUCUCUGGGACGGUACUGACGCUGAGACGCGAAAGCGUGGGGAGCGAACAGG